Molecule: long non-coding RNA, 842 nt
Organism: Perca fluviatilis (European perch)
Lineage: Eukaryota; Metazoa; Chordata; Actinopteri; Perciformes; Percidae
Exons: 3
Source: RefSeq, a predicted model, not a curated record
CCGAAAAGUCUGAUUUCAGAGCCAAGCCCUCUCUGUGGGAGGAUAUAAGACUGAGAAAUUAUUUCAUUUCUCAGUCUGAACAUUCUUCAGAUUUGCAUCGUGUCAGAGUUCUGCUCUUCUUCUUCAUCUUCAGACUUUGAGCAGUUUAGAUUUUAGAUUUCUACAUUUUUGGACCUUCGUACCUGAAACUUUCUCCACCAACUCUUCGGUAUCUCUCCUGCUGCUGACUCUAGAACUCAUCUCUCUCCUGUCAUUCAGAUAAUCAUGAAGAUCUCUAUCUUUGCCUGUGUUCUGCUGAUCUCUGCUGCCUCCGUGCUCUCUGUGGACGAUCUAGAUGCAAGUGUUCAGAAUUUUAUAAAUCAGCAUAUCAACCAGAACAUGGAUCCUAACUCCUGUGACGCCCUGAUAAAACAGAGAAAAAUCAGUAAAGCCUAUAGUAAUAAGUGUAAGAAGGAGAACUCCUUCAUCAGUGCAACGUAUGGCGAAGUCACAAAGAUCUGUGGGGAUGAAGGAGAGCCGUAUGAAAUAAACAAUCGUAUUCUGAGGAUUAGCCUUAAAAAGUUCACCGUUGUUAAUUGUAAAUGCAAUGACAACCUCACGUUUGACUACUGUGGCUGCAGAGGCUCUCGUCCCAACCUCAGAAUUGUAAUCGAUUGUGAUAACAAUGGUAACCCUGUUCACUAUGAAGAAGGUGUAAAUAUUCUCAACUGAUGAAUGGAUCAGAGUAAUCUAUUACUACCUGAUGAAUCGGAGUAAUCUGUUACUACCUGAUGAACCAGAGUAAUUUGUUACUACCUAAUUAAUCAGAGUAAUAUAUUACUAACUGUUGAAUAAAAGACAUG